CCUACGGGUGGCAGCAGUGAGGAAUAUUGGUCAAUGGUCGGGAGACUGAACCAGCCAAGCCGCGUGAGGGAUGAAGGUACAGCGUAUCGUAAACCUCUUUUGUCAGGGAACAGAGUCGGGGACGUGUCCCCGGAUGAGUGUACCUGAAGAAAAAGCAUCGGCUAACUCCGUGCCAGCUGCCGCGGUAAUACGGAGGAUGCGAGCGUUAUCCGGAUUUAUUGGGUUUAAAGGGUGCGCAGGCGGUCUGUUCAGUCCGCGGUAAAAGCCCGGGGCUCACCCCCGGCCCGCCGUUGAAACUGGCAGUCUCGAGUUGGAGAGAAGUAUGCGGAAUGCGCGGUGUAGCGGUGAAAUGCAUAGAUAUCGCGCAGAACUCCGAUUGCGAAGGCAGCAUGCCGGAUCCACACUGACGCUGAGGCACGAAAGCGUGGGUAUCGAACAGGAUUAGAUACCCGGGUAGUC
Molecule: ribosomal RNA, 459 nt
Filed under: uncultured bacterium
Lineage: Bacteria
Description: partial 16S ribosomal RNA
Rfam family: Bacterial small subunit ribosomal RNA
Source: RNAcentral